CAACUCCUCCUAUCAAACCACCGCCGGUCCAACCACCUACGUACAAACCCCCAACUCCAUCCGUUAAACCACCCACGACACAACCAGUUAAACCACCGCCGGUACAACCCCCUACGUACAAACCCCCAACGUCACCGGUUAAACCACCCACCACAACUCCACCGGUCCAACCACCUACGUACAAACCCCCAACGUCGCCAGUUAAACCACCCACCACGACGCCACCGGUCCAACCACCUACGUACAAACCCCCAACGCCACCAGUUAAACCACCCACGACACCACCAGUCAAACCACCGACACCACCGGUCAAACCUCCGACACCACCUCCCGUAAGAACUCG
RNAcentral lists this long non-coding RNA (343 nucleotides) under Capsella rubella. RNAcentral describes it as "long non-coding RNA (CRUB_LNC001967)". Lineage: Eukaryota; Viridiplantae; Streptophyta; Magnoliopsida; Brassicales; Brassicaceae. The record is from RNAcentral.